CAGCAAGAGACUUGCAGACGUGCUCAAAUAACAACCUCUUAAAGAUCUGGGAUAAACAUUCUUAUACUUUAGUCCAUUCUAUAUAUAGUUUCUCAAACCCCUACCAAAAAACUUACAAGACAAUGAUGGCUUGUAAUGUUAAUGUUAUUCUUCAACAAGGAAAAUUUGCUACAUCAAGCAGAAAGUGGCAAAGCUUCCCGCCUCAUUGUUAUAAAGCCAAUAUUAUUUCUUCUAUAGCUAUUGGCCCAAGUCGACUUCCACAGUCACCAUCGAAGCUAGUUUUCCAUGAAAAAGAGAGGCCAAGUUUGAGCAAUGAAAAAUUUGGCAUUUAUGGUGGAAAGUUCGUCCCUGAGACUCUAAUAUCUUCUUUAACAAAACUUGAUUACGAAUUCAAUUCUGCUUUGCAUGAUCCUCAAUUUCAGAUGGAGCUUGGAGUGGCAUUAAGGGACUACGUAGGUCGUGAAACUCCUUUAUACUUCGCCCAAAGACUCACAGAUCACUACAAGAACAAUAAUAGGGGGAUAGGACCAGACAUAUAUCUAAAAAGAGAGGAUCUCAACCAUGGUGGUGCACACAAGAUCAACAAUGCUUUUGCACAAGCGAUGCUGGCUAAGCGUAUGGACUGUAAAAACAUUGUGGCGGCCACCGGUGCUGGACAACACGGUAUCGCCACGGCGGCUGCUUGUGCUAAACUUUCUUUGGAUUGCACAAUAUUCAUUGGAAGCUUAGACAUGGAGAGACAACCUUCCAACGUACUUUUGAUGAAGCAUCUUGGUGCAAAGAUCAAAUCAGCUAAAGGAAGCUUCAAGGAUGCAGUUUCAGAAGGCAUUAGAUAUUGGGUUAACAAUUUGGACAGCACCUAUUUCCUAGCGGGUGCAGCCGUAGGACCUCACCCUUGUCCCACUAUGGUUCGUGAAUUCCAAUCAGUGAUUGGAAAAGAGACGAGAAAACAAGCUAUGGAGAAGUGGGGUGGGAAACCAGAUGUGUUGGUGGCUUGUGUAGGAAGUGGCUCUAAUGCAUUGGGUUUGUUUCAUGAAUUUAUACAAGAUCAAGAUGUGAGACUCAUAGGAGUUGAGGCUGGUGGGACUGGCCUUGAUUUAGAUAAACACUCGGCAACUAUGGCUAGAGGUCAAGUGGGAGUCUACCAUGGUGCCAUGAGCUAUCUAUUACAAGACGAUGAAGGCCAAAUUAUUGGACCACACUCCAUAGGUGUGGGAUUAGAGUACCCAGGUGUUAGCCCAGAGCUUAGCUUUCUGAAAGACAUUGGGCGUGCAGAGUUUUCUACCGUCAAUGACGAACAAACCUUAGACGCAUAUAAACGACUAUGCAAACUAGAAGGGAUAAUCCCAGCCUUAGAAGCUUCUCAUGCACUUGCAUUUCUCGACAAACUCUGCUCUACUUUAAAGGAUGGUGAAAAAGUGGUUGUAAAUUUAAGUGGUCGUGGAGAUAAGGAUGCUGCUACAGUCUUCAAUCAUCUUUAUCCCUGAUUAGGGUAGAAGAUUUACAAGGAUAUAAUAAAGCAACGAAUGGGACUUAUGACGAUAUUGGAUACCCGAUACUUUGAGUUUAUUGAUAAUUUUGUUUCUCUUUGAACUUUUUAAACUUUUUUUUUUGUUCUCAAGACACACAUAAUUUUAAUAUAUUAAGAAUUUCAUAUGUUGUACGUUUAUUAUAUUCACUUUUUGAA
Lycium barbarum (goji berry) is the source of this 1687-nucleotide RNA transcript. It is a transcript of the gene named tryptophan synthase beta chain 1, with no coding region annotated. The transcript is spliced from 8 exons. The record is from RefSeq and is a predicted model, not a curated record. Lineage: Eukaryota; Viridiplantae; Streptophyta; Magnoliopsida; Solanales; Solanaceae.